GUGGGGAAUUUUGGACAAUGGGCGCAAGCCUGAUCCAGCAAUGCCGCGUGCAGGAAGAAGGCCUUCGGGUUGUAAACUGCUUUUGUACGGAACGAAACGGUCCUGGCUAAUAUCCGGGGCUAAUGACGGUACCGUAAGAAUAAGCACCGGCUAACUACGUGCCAGCAGCCGCGGUAAUACGUAGGGUGCGAGCGUUAAUCGGAAUUACUGGGCGUAAAGCGUGCGCCGGCGGUGCUGUAAGACAGGCGUGAAAUCCCCGGGCUCAACCUGGGAAUUGCGCUUGUGACUGCAGUGCUGGAGUGCGGCAGAGGGGGAUGGAAUUCCGCGUGUAGCAGUGAAAUGCGUAGAUAUGCGGAGGAACACCGAUGGCGAAGGCAAUCCCCUGGGCCUGCACUGACGCUCAUGCACGAAAGCGUGGGGAGCAAACAGGAUUAGAUACCCGAGUAGUCC
RNAcentral lists this ribosomal RNA (450 nucleotides) under uncultured bacterium. RNAcentral describes it as "partial 16S ribosomal RNA". It matches the Rfam family "Bacterial small subunit ribosomal RNA", at positions 354 to 796 of the family's 1533-position model. The record is from RNAcentral.